CGACGGAAGAUAUGAGGUCUGAGUUGCAUGUCGUGGCUCUGCACCCACGUUAAAAUGCAGAAACAAACACAAACGCCAACAACGAACUGGCACUCGCAGCUUAAUUAAGCAGCGCGCUCCCCGGGGAAAACCUGCUACUCCGAAGGGGCGUCAACCAGCAGGUUGGCCUGAAGGGACUGACCUUGAUCUUCAGGCGAGACUAAGAGGGAUAAGAGACGGAAAAGUCCUCUUGCCGGCGUUUCCGUUUCUGACAAUCAACAGGCAAGGUAAGCAUGUAGACGCUUAGAAGUAGUACUUCCGGACCCGGGUUCGAUUCCCGGCGCCUCCACCA
Molecule: transfer-messenger RNA, 331 nt
Filed under: Nitrospirota bacterium
Lineage: Bacteria; Pseudomonadati; Nitrospirota
Description: Nitrospirae bacterium (groundwater metagenome) partial transfer-messenger RNA
Rfam family: transfer-messenger RNA
About the family: Bacterial tmRNA, also known as 10Sa RNA or SsrA, is named for its dual tRNA and mRNA-like properties. Its role is to liberate the mRNA from a stalled ribosome. To accomplish this part of the tmRNA is used as a reading frame that ends in a translation stop signal.
Source: RNAcentral